Molecule: ribosomal RNA, 279 nt
Filed under: uncultured bacterium
Lineage: Bacteria
Description: partial 16S ribosomal RNA
Rfam family: Bacterial small subunit ribosomal RNA
Source: RNAcentral
UACUCCCGCCGGCGACCGGCGCACGGGUGAGUAACACGUAUGAAACCUGCCCGUAGCAGGGGGAUAAGCGGAAGAAAUUCCGUCUAAUACCGCGUAACAACCCGAGGAGGCAUCUCCUCGGGUUUUAAAGGAAGCGAUUCCGGCUACGGAUGGUCAUGCGUCGCAUUAGCUAGUUGGCGGGGUAACGGCCCACCAAGGCGACGAUGCGUAGGGGUUCUGAGAGGAAGGUCCCCCACACUGGUACUGAGACACGGACCAGACUCCUACGGGAGGCAGCAG